Molecule: ribosomal RNA, 318 nt
Filed under: uncultured Vampyrellida
Lineage: Eukaryota; Endomyxa; Vampyrellida
Description: SSU rRNA
Rfam family: Eukaryotic small subunit ribosomal RNA
Source: RNAcentral
AACUUAUGAACAUCGUAGUUGCUGUUGACGGCCAAGCGCCUGAAAUGGUUUGCUACGGUUCAUCCUUCUAGAAGGCUGCGUUGCACUUGAUUGUGUGAUGUAUGUUGACUAGAUCAUUUACUGUGAGUAAAUCAGAGUGUUUAAAGCAGGCUUAUGCCUGAAUGUUUUAGCAUGGAAUAAUAAGAUAGGGCUUUGGUUUUAUUUUGUUGGCUUCUAAGACUAAAGUAAUGAUUGAUAGGGAUAGUUGGGGGUGCUAGUAUUUAACGGUCAGCGGUGAAAUGCGUGGACCCGUUAAAGACUAACUUAUGCGAAAGCAUU